This 253-nucleotide ribosomal RNA is filed under the name uncultured bacterium. RNAcentral describes it as "partial 16S ribosomal RNA". It matches the Rfam family "Bacterial small subunit ribosomal RNA", at positions 524 to 776 of the family's 1533-position model. The record is from RNAcentral.
UACGAAGGGGGCUAGCGUUGCGCGGAAUCACUGGGCGUAAAGCGCACGUAGGCGGACUCUUAAGUCGGUGGUGAAAUCCUGGAGCUCAACUCCAGAACUGCCUUCGAUACUGAGAGUCUCGAGUCCGGGAGAGGUGAGUGGAACUGCGAGUGUAGAGGUGAAAUUCGUAGAUAUUCGCAAGAACACCAGUGGCGAAGGCGGCUCACUGGCCCGGUACUGACGCUGAGGUGCGAAAGCGUGGGGAGCAAACAGG